RNAcentral lists this transfer RNA (86 nucleotides) under Parcubacteria group bacterium CG08_land_8_20_14_0_20_38_56. Its description in RNAcentral is "tRNA-Leu". It matches the Rfam family "tRNA". From Rfam's summary of the family: Transfer RNA (tRNA) molecules are approximately 80 nucleotides in length. Their secondary structure includes four short double-helical elements and three loops (D, anti-codon, and T loops). RNAcentral also lists the same sequence under 1 other name. The record is from RNAcentral.
GCCCCCGUGGUGAAACUGGCAUACACGCGAGGUUUAGGACCUCGUGCCUAAAAAGCGUAGGGGUUCAAAUCCUCUCGGGGGCACUA